Molecule: ribosomal RNA, 409 nt
Filed under: uncultured bacterium
Lineage: Bacteria
Description: bacterial SSU rRNA
Rfam family: Bacterial small subunit ribosomal RNA
Source: RNAcentral
GAUGAACGCUAGCGGCAGGCCUAAUACAUGCAAGUCGAACGGAUAUAUGUUUUUCGGAAUAUAUAUUAGUGGCGCACGGGUGAGUAACACGUACAUAACUUGCCCUCAAGCGGGGGAUAGCCUUGGGAAACUGAGAGUAAUACCCCAUAGAAUUAUUGGACGGCAUCGUUUGAUAAUUAAAACUACGGUGCUUGGGGAUAGAUGUGCGUCUGAUUAGCUAGUUGGUGAGGUAACUGCUCACCAAGGCGACGAUCAGUAGGGGGCGUGAGAGCGUGGCCCCCCACAGGGUACGUNAGACACGGACCCGACUCCUACGGGAGGCAGCAGUAAGGAAUAUUGGUCAAUGGAGGGAACUCUGAACCAGCCAUGCGCGUGAAGGAUGACGGCCCUCCUGGGUUGGUAAACUUAC